Molecule: long non-coding RNA, 2754 nt
Organism: Alligator mississippiensis (American alligator)
Lineage: Eukaryota; Metazoa; Chordata; Crocodylia; Alligatoridae
Exons: 2
Source: RefSeq, a predicted model, not a curated record
CGGGGCCGUGCCAGUGUCAGUCCCCAGCGCCCCCGGGGGAGGAUGAUCCCCGACACGUGGAGCAGGAAGGGCAGGACAGCCCCGGCCCCCGCGCCUGGAGCAUCCCGAAAGCGGGGCGGGGGGCGCUGCUGCGGGCCGGGCCGGGCCGAGAGCGCGUGGCGCGGGCGGAGGCAGACGCGGGACGGCCGUGGGGAGCGCCCGAGCCUGCGCGGGUCCGCCUCCUCCCCCGAGCGGCCCGAGAGCCGUUGGCGGCGCCGGGCACCCCGCACGCGAGGCUGUCGCGGGCCUGCGGGAGCGAGCCCGGGCACCCGGCCCCGCGCGGCGGCACGAGCGCCAGCCUGGCCUGCUUGCAAGGCGGUCACGUCCGGCGGUGAACUACGCCCGCUCCCUCCUUCCCCGCUUCAGCCCCCUGGGCGGCUCCCCGCCGGGCCGGGCAGGGCCGCCCCCGGACGAGCGCCCUGCUGCGGGGAGCGCGGGCACGUUUGGGGCCUCCAAGUGUUUUCGUUACUUUCCCACGAGACGAGGCCGCGCGAGCUUGUCAGGUUGCCUCAUGCUGCCUGUGCCCUUCCAGAAGACGGGCAGCAGCUCAAUGCCUAUAUCUAGAAACUCCCAAGUGAAGAAUUGAAAUGCAUCCUCCACACCGUGCCAGACCAUCCCUGCAGCUCUCAAGCACGAGGGACCAAGUGGAGGCUGGUCCCCAGGAUGCCUUCACUGAGGCACUGCAAUACCUGGGACAGGACUGUCCAACUUCUAAAGGCCCAUGGCUACAUGCCCCGGAGCCACACCAGCAGGAACAAUGGGCCCUCAGGCUGCCUGCCAAACAGGCAAGUGCUCUUCCACCCACCGCCCCACACAGCAUGGCACUUUGCCUCACCUGCAGCUCCCUGCAGGCUCCCGUGGGACGGUGCCACAUGGACACUCUGGGCUGCCAGCCCUCCUGGCACUGCAGGCUGUGCUGGGGGCUGGGCCAGGCAGUGGAAGGGGAGCCCCAAGCUGCUACUGCAGCCAGAGCAAGGGGCAGCAGUGGCCUGCCUGUUAACCCCUUGUGGGCCACAUGUGGCCAGUUGGAUAGCCCCAGCCUAUAAGUUAGGUGCUUUACCCCAGGCAGCAAUCCCAAAAGUCAGGGUUCUGUGCCUAGGGUCCCCAUAUAGUCUAUAAGGAACCUGAAGCAUUUCCAGAGCAAUUCAGGGACAGCAUCUCCACUUUCCACACAGAGUAGGAAGUUAUUCCCCUGCAGGGUGGCUCAGCGGGACUAGAGGCCCCUAGCAGUAAUCAACAGGAAAAACCACACACAGGAGGUCGUCUGAGCUGCUGCUCUUCCUGUAGCACAGAUGUCUGCCUCAGGAUCCAGGACCUUAACUGACCAGAGCGUCUUGAAGCUAACACUGAGCAGCAUCCUGCAAGGACGUUACAGUACCACGAGGUGCCAUGGUUCUCUAGCCAAGACUCACUGCUCUGAUGUAAGGUGCAUAAUAUUGCUGGACUCCCUGCCCAUGAGGAAUGACUUGUCACUAAUGCUUCAUCCUGCCUGCUUUCCUGUCCCACCGCCCUUGAAUUUCUGGCUCUUCUGUGGCCAUUUUAAAGUGGGAGCUGGAAGGUCUUCCCCAGGCUCUCCUACAGCCCAGAACGUACAGCUAUCUCUGGGAGGUGGGCAACCGGACUCUGAAUCCCUUGUGGCUGGGGAGGUCAUAUUAAAUGAUUCUAAAUAUUUCCCCGAGUCUUACAAUGGUAUUCUGACCCCUACUAUUGAGCUGUGAAGCCAGGGCCCUAGGCCACCUCUUGUUCCAUCAUACACUCGCACACCUUUUCUAAAGUCACGUUACUCUCCCCCCACACACUCCAAUCACCCCCGAUGGCUCAACCCAGCACAUUACAUGGUGGUUAUCACUGCCAGGGAAGCCCAGCUGGGAGCAGCAGUGGUUCAGAUUCCCAAGGGACAGGGCAUCUAUGGACCUCCGAGUCUCACACUCGUCAAUAAAACGAGUUUCAUGAAACAAAUCAGAAACUUUUAUUUGAAAAGUUACUACAAAAUCAGCUGCAAGCUGGCACAGAGGCACUGGACAGGUGCAUGUGUGCAGCACCCCUUCAGCAGUAGCCAAGGGACUACGAAGAAGGGGUGAUGCAUUUUAAGGCUAUCACAAGGCACUAGGUUUCACACAGAUCUUCCCUAGAGAAAUAUCAUGCACAGACAACUGCGUGUAAGCCCCCCCUGGGGAUAAAGAUAAGGGAGCUAAGCACGGGCACCUCCAGAAGUGGAAGCUGUGCUUCUCUUCUCUGAACUGCUUGGCCUUGGCAGGACCUUUUCCAUCUGGCCAGAACUACUUUCCCCACCCCCCCUUCGUUUCACAUGGAGACUGCCCCUUCUCCCUCCUGUCCCUCAGGGGCAUCCCUGGGCUUUACAGAUUCUGCAGUCAGAAGGCCACGGACACCUGGUAGAUGUCAGUCACACAACCAAAUGCAUAUGUGAAAGGCACGUGGUACUAUGAAGGUGGCCACAACGAAAGGAUCCAGGUAAGAAGCGGCUCGGGCCUGGAUCACAUUCUGAUGGUAGUACUGCACUGACAGAUCUCUCUGCAACAAUGGUCCCAUCUAUCAGCCUGCCUGCGUUUGUCCCAUGUUCACAGGGACAAGCUGGAACUGUUCAGUAUGGUCUCAACCAGGUGAGAACAGGCACCAAACGUCAUACCUGGGCACAUCAGGGAUGGAUGCGCUUGCAGGCAGGCCCUGUCCACAUGGAAACACUGGCAGGAAGAG